CAGACCUUAGCUCAGUUGGUAGAGCGGAGGACUGUAGUUGAACCAGAAUAUCCUUAGGUCACUGGUUCGAUUCCGGGAGGUCAGA
RNAcentral lists this transfer RNA (85 nucleotides) under Arabidopsis lyrata subsp. lyrata. It matches the Rfam family "tRNA". From Rfam's summary of the family: Transfer RNA (tRNA) molecules are approximately 80 nucleotides in length. Their secondary structure includes four short double-helical elements and three loops (D, anti-codon, and T loops). Lineage: Eukaryota; Viridiplantae; Streptophyta; Magnoliopsida; Brassicales; Brassicaceae. The record is from Rfam by way of RNAcentral.